This is a non-coding RNA of Ceratobasidium sp. AG-I, 86 nucleotides long. The record is from the annotation of a GenBank genome assembly. NCBI's taxonomy places the organism in Eukaryota, Fungi, Basidiomycota, Agaricomycetes, Cantharellales, Ceratobasidiaceae.
GGGACAGAAGCUCAGUGGUUGAGCGCUCGAUUGCAACUUGCUUAGUCAUCAUCGAGCGGUCGCGUGUUCGAUCCACGCUUGUCCCU